Molecule: long non-coding RNA, 1020 nt
Organism: Phoenix dactylifera (date palm)
Lineage: Eukaryota; Viridiplantae; Streptophyta; Magnoliopsida; Arecales; Arecaceae
Source: RefSeq, a predicted model, not a curated record
CAAAUCAUCCUGCCCCCUAUUUUCUUCCUCCCACCUCCCCAUCAAAAUCCCUCAACCUAGCCACCAUUAGCCACCAUCAUCCCAACCCCCCCCCCCCCUCUUCCCGAUCCCAGCCCCCUUUGCAUCUUCCAAACCCUGCCUUUUCUGUACUGCCUCCAUCAGCCGGAAUAAGGACAAGGUAGUGGUGGACGUGGAGGAGGGCCGCCGUCAGAGGGAGGAGGAGAGCUUCCAGAAGAAGCGCCGCAAGGGCAUGCAGGCCCAGCCCUUCCCCCCCUCCUCGAUCCACACCUCUGCCCUCGAAAAGAAGGUGAUCUACUUUGCCCUUUUGAUCUGUAGUUCUAGGAUCCUGGAUUGCUAGAUCGGCUCGACUGAUGGGUUUGCUAGGGUUUUUCUAGUUGUAGGUCUAGGGUUUGGGAUUUGGAGCUCACAAUUCUUUCUUGUUUUGCUGUGAAUUUGGAGUUGGAGAACCUAGGAUUUUGUGGUACCUCUUGUCAAGGAGUGGGGAGGAGGAAGAGCUCAAGGAGUGGGACAAGGGCUUCGUCAAAAUAGAGAAGCAGGAGCUGUUGGAGAUUGCCAUAGUCGCCCCCUGCCUCAACUCCCAGCCGCUGUUCGAUCUCUACUGCCAGGCGGUGGCCAACACCAUCAAAAGGGGAUGCAUUUGUUUUCCUGAGAGCAGCAAAGCAUGAUUCCAAUAUCAGUGAUAUAUAUCGAGCCAGAGUAUGCAUCUUGGAGUGCUUGUAACUGCAUCGCAUGCUAUUUCAACUGGUAGUUUAUUCAUCGUCUGCUACAAACCAAGGUUGGAAAUGCUCCUUCAGUUUGUCACCAGGAGGCCUGUUUGCUCCAAUUGUCUUUUUUUGUUUUCGUUUUUGUGAGCUGAUGUAAUUAUUUGCACAAACUUGUGCCCCGCGUCUAUGUUAUUCAUCGUGGGUGUUAACAAAUACUUGGAAGCUGUUAAGAACGGAUUCACGGUUGGGAUGAGAUGCAGAAUGAGAUUUGAGGAUGUCCAGUUUUAAAAUGAGA